AAUCCAUGGUGAAGACACCUUUGCAGUAGGUCCCUGUAUCUCUCUCAUGCAUCGUAAAGAGUUUCUAAGUCAUUCUGCACAAACGAAGAGAUAUCAUUACGUAAUU
Gossypium arboreum is the source of this 106-nucleotide non-coding RNA. Lineage: Eukaryota; Viridiplantae; Streptophyta; Magnoliopsida; Malvales; Malvaceae. The record is from Rfam.